RNAcentral lists this ribosomal RNA (301 nucleotides) under uncultured bacterium. Its description in RNAcentral is "partial 16S ribosomal RNA". It matches the Rfam family "Bacterial small subunit ribosomal RNA", at positions 509 to 807 of the family's 1533-position model. The record is from RNAcentral.
CAGUAGCCGCGGUAAAACGUAGGUGGCAAGCGUUGUCCGGAAUUAUUGGGCGUAAAGGGCUCGCAGGCGGUUGCUUAAGUCUGAUGUGAAAGCCCCCGGCUCAACCGGGGAGGGUCAUUGGAAACUGGGAAACUUGAGUGCAGAAGAGGAGAGUGGAAUUCCACGUGUAGCGGUGAAAUGCGUAGAGAUGUGGGGGAACACCAGUGGCGAAGGCGACUCUCUGGUCUGUAACUGACGCUGAGGAGCGAAAGCGUGGGGAGCGAACAGGAUUAGAUACCCGAGUAGUCCCUGUCUCUUAUAC